This 473-nucleotide long non-coding RNA is filed under the name Panax ginseng (ginseng). RNAcentral's name for it is "long non-coding RNA (PGIN_LNC002025)". Lineage: Eukaryota; Viridiplantae; Streptophyta; Magnoliopsida; Apiales; Araliaceae. The record is from RNAcentral.
AAUAACGGUAGGAGGGGUCAGAGGCAGCCCCAGGUUGAGGCUGUUAAUCAGGGUGGAAACGAUGGGAACCAGGGUAAUGCAACAAUAACCCCAGCUAUGGUGGCAGCAAUGGUGAAUGAGGCAGUUACGCAGGCCGUGGCGCAGGCUAUGCAGGGUAUUCCGCAGAUGCAAGGAAAUCAGUAUGCAAACGGCAUGGGGGAUGAUGCAGAGAUACCACAACAUGAGCAUAAUGUUCCUCCCGAGGAUCAAGUGGGUCAGCCAGUGCAGCCAUUAUAAGUGUUGUUGGAGAGGUUCAUUAAGCAGAAGCCCAACUCUUUUCGUUUUGCUCCGACUCCAAUUGAUGCGGAGAACUGGAUCGCCCACUUGGAGAAGAUUUUUGAUGUUAUUGGGUGUACCGAAAAUCAGAAGGUGAGAUUAGCAGUAUAUAAGCUAGAGGAUGAUGCUCAGCGAUGGUGGAAAUCGUUGAAGGCUAC